Molecule: ribosomal RNA, 483 nt
Filed under: uncultured bacterium
Lineage: Bacteria
Description: bacterial SSU rRNA
Rfam family: Bacterial small subunit ribosomal RNA
Source: RNAcentral
GAUGAACGCUAGCGGCAGGCUUAAUACAUGCAAGUCGUGGGGCAGCGCAGGUAGCAAUACUGGGCGGCGACCGGCAAACGGGUGCGGAACACGUACACAACCUUCCGAGAAGUGGGGAAUAGCCCAGAGAAAUUUGGAUUAAUACCCCCGUAACAUAACGAUGUGGCAUCACAUUGUUAUUAUAGCUUCGGCGCUUCUUGAUGGGUGUGCGGCUGAUUAGAUAGUUGGCGGGGUAACGGCCCACCAAGUCUACGAUCAGUAGCUGAUGUGAGAGCAUGAUCAGCCACACGGGCACUGAGACACGGGCCCGACUCCUACGGGAGGCAGCAGUGGGGAAUAUUGGACAAUGGGCGCAAGCCUGAUCCAGCCAUGCCGCGUGAGUGACGAAGGCCUUAGGGUUGUAAAGGCUCUUUUGGCGGGGAAGAUAAUGACAGUACCUGGAGAAUAAGACUCCGGCUAACUCCGUGCCAGCAGCCGCGGUAA